This 1442-nucleotide ribosomal RNA is filed under the name metagenome. Its description in RNAcentral is "bacterial SSU rRNA". It matches the Rfam family "Bacterial small subunit ribosomal RNA". The record is from RNAcentral.
AGAGUUUGAUCCUGGCUCAGGAUGAACGCUGGCGGCGUGCUUAACACAUGCAAGUCGAACGAACCUUCGGGUUAGUGGCGGACGGGUGAGUAACGCGUGGGAACCUGCCCUCAGGAGGGGGAUGACGGUUGGAAACGGCCGCUAAUACCCCAUAUGCCGAGAGGUGAAACGAAUUUCGCCUGAGGAUGGGCCCGCGUCUGAUUAGCUAGUUGGUGGGGUAAGAGCCUACCAAGGCGACGAUCAGUAGCUGGUCUGAGAGGAUGAUCAGCCACACUGGGACUGAGACACGGCCCAGACUCCUACGGGAGGCAGCAGUGGGGAAUUUUCCGCAAUGGGCGAAAGCCUGACGGAGCAACGCCGCGUGAGGGAUGAAGGCCUCUGGGCUGUAAACCUCUUUUCUCAAGGAAGAGGACCUGACGGUACUUGAGGAAUAAGCCACGGCUAAUUCCGUGCCAGCAGCCGCGGUAAUACGGGAGUGGCAAGCGUUAUCCGGAAUUAUUGGGCGUAGAGCGUCCGCAGGUGGCCCUGUAAGUCUGUCGUUAAAGCGUGGAGCUUAACUCCAUUUAAGCGAUGGAAACUACAGGGCUAGAGUGUGGUAGGGGCAGAGGGAAUUCCCGGUGUAGCGGUGAAAUGCGUAGAUAUCGGGAAGAACACCAGUGGCGAAGGCGCUCUGCUGGGCCAUCACUGACACUCAUGGACGAAAGCCAGGGGAGCGAAAGGGAUUAGAUACCCCUGUAGUCCUGGCCGUAAACGAUGAACACUAGGUGUCGGGGGAAUCGACCCCCUCGGUGUCGUAGCCAACGCGUUAAGUGUUCCGCCUGGGGAGUACGCACGCAAGUGUGAAACUCAAAGGAAUUGACGGGGGCCCGCACAAGCGGUGGAGUAUGUGGUUUAAUUCGAUGCAACGCGAAGAACCUUACCAGGGUUUGACAUCCUGCGAAUCCCUUGGAAACGAGGGAGUGCCUUCGGGAGCGCAGAGACAGGUGGUGCAUGGCUGUCGUCAGCUCGUGUCGUGAGAUGUUGGGUUAAGUCCGCAACGAGCGCAACCCACGUCGUUAGUUGCCAUCAUUCAGUUGGGCACUCUAGCGAGACCGCCGGUGAUAAACCGGAGGAAGGUGUGGAUGACGUCAAGUCAUCAUGCCCCUUACAUCCUGGGCUACACACGUACUACAAUGCUACGGACAAAGGGCAGCGAUCCCGCGAGGGCUAGCAAAUCCCAUAAACCGUGGCUCAGUUCAGAUCGUAGGCUGCAACUCGCCUACGUGAAGGAGGAAUCGCUAGUAAUCGCAGGUCAGCAUACUGCGGUGAAUACGUUCCCGGGCCUUGCACACACCGCCCGUCACACCAUGGAAGUUGGCCACGCCCGAAGUCGUUACUCCAACCCUUGUGGAGGAGGACGCCGAAGGUGGGGCUGAUGACUGGGGUGAAGUCGUAACAAGGUA